RNAcentral lists this long non-coding RNA (276 nucleotides) under Ananas comosus (pineapple). RNAcentral describes it as "long non-coding RNA (ACOM_LNC036661)". Lineage: Eukaryota; Viridiplantae; Streptophyta; Magnoliopsida; Poales; Bromeliaceae. The record is from RNAcentral.
UACGGGGAUCGAAAAACAGGCCGCAUAGCCAGCCUGGCCCCUACUCCGAAGGUAUUCCGAAUGACUUCCUCAAUCUGAUUAUAUAGCUCAUUGUUAUUCCCUUGUAUGGGAAGCAGAGCUUGUGCUUGAGCCGGAUUCGGCCCUUGAGGAACUCCAUAAUUCUGUAUUGCAGGGUUCGCUCCUUGCAUAGCAUUAGAGGCCUGCCCCCCAGCUCUAAUCCCUGCAUUUUGAGGCUGAUAAGUUGGUAAAGGAGGUAAACCGGAUGCAAUCUCCGAC